Molecule: transfer RNA, 82 nt
Filed under: Cytophagales bacterium
Lineage: Bacteria; Pseudomonadati; Bacteroidota; Cytophagia; Cytophagales
Description: tRNA-Leu
Rfam family: tRNA
About the family: Transfer RNA (tRNA) molecules are approximately 80 nucleotides in length. Their secondary structure includes four short double-helical elements and three loops (D, anti-codon, and T loops).
Source: RNAcentral
GCCUAGGUGGCGGAACUGGUAGACGCGCACGACUCAAAAUCGUGUUCCCCACGGAGUGCCGGUUCGAUCCCGGCCCUGGGUA